CAGUCGCCGCGGGAAUACGGAGGGGGCUAGCGUUGUUCGGAAUUACUGGGCGUAAAGCGCACGUAGGCGGCUUUGUAAGUCAGAGGUGAAAGCCCGGGGCUCAACCCCGGAAUUGCCUUUGAGACUGCAUCGCUUGAAUCCAGGAGAGGUGAGUGGAAUUCCGAGUGUAGAGGUGAAAUUCGUAGAUAUUCGGAAGAACACCAGUGGCGAAGGCGGCUCACUGGACUGGUAUUGACGCUGAGGUGCGAAAGCGUGGGGAGCAAACAGGAUUAGAUACCCCAGUAGUCCCUGUCUCUUAUAA
This 301-nucleotide ribosomal RNA is filed under the name uncultured bacterium. RNAcentral describes it as "partial 16S ribosomal RNA". It matches the Rfam family "Bacterial small subunit ribosomal RNA", at positions 509 to 809 of the family's 1533-position model. The record is from RNAcentral.